Non-coding RNA from Chlorocebus sabaeus (green monkey), 759 nucleotides. The record is from RefSeq and is a predicted model, not a curated record. Lineage: Eukaryota; Metazoa; Chordata; Mammalia; Primates; Cercopithecidae.
CCGCGCCCAGCCAACUUACUUAUUUUUCUAAAAGCAAACAGUGAAUGUUGAGGGCUCCUUAAGAGCAGAGGUGAGUCAGCAGUGAUUUUUACUGAGUUUUUUAUGGGGACACAUUAUAGUUAACAUUCUCUACACCGGAUGUCCUCUAAUAGGGAUGGAAAUUUAUGAGCCCAGAGAUAAGACAAAUUGAGACUUUAGGAGAGGGCCAAUUCUCUGAAGUCACUCAGAGCUGAUUUCAUGAGUGCUAUUUGUACAUCCUCAAGCCUGCUAUUUAAAGAGAAUUGUUCAGUUUUGACAAAAUUGCUCUGAACAUGAACAAUUUCCUCCUAUUAUGGAGUGUCUCAUUUUCAGCUGCUUAUUGCAUUCCUACUCAUGCAUUCCCUCUUCUCUUGCUCUCUCUCAGACCCCCUGAAGGCCGGAGACGUAGGAGGCUCUGCAGCGGAGGGCGUGGGGGAGGCAGCACAUUUGCUAACUAGCGCCAGCCCAGGAUGGCUCACCUCAGCUCUGCCUGGACUGCCCCAGCAUGAAGCUGACUCACCCACUCCCCAGGACAAUUGAGCACCAUCCUGCUUGGCCAAGAGGCACAGUCUGAAAAGGGAGGACUGUGCCAGAGUUGGAAUAACAGAUUGGGGAGGAUAAAGAGACUACUACCCUUUUUCCACAAAAAUGUGCAAGAUGUGAUGACAUAAAGCACAUGGUUGGAGUGUAAUGGUGUGAUCAUAGCUCACUGUAACCUCUGAACUCCUGGGCUAAAGCAAU